RNAcentral lists this ribosomal RNA (254 nucleotides) under uncultured bacterium. RNAcentral describes it as "partial 16S ribosomal RNA". It matches the Rfam family "Bacterial small subunit ribosomal RNA", at positions 524 to 776 of the family's 1533-position model. The record is from RNAcentral.
UACGGAGGGAGCUAGCGUUGUUCGGAAUUACUGGGCGUAAAGCGCGCGUAGGCGGCUUUGUAAGUUAGAGGUGAAAGCCCGGAGCUCAACUCCGGAACUGCCUUUAAAACUGCAUCGCUUGAAUCCAGGAGAGGUGAGUGGAAUUCCGAGUGUAGAGGUGAAAUUCGUAGAUAUUCGGAAGAACACCAGUGGCGAAGGCGGCUCACUGGACUGGUAUUGACGCUGAGGUGGCGAAAGCGUGGGGAGCAAACAGG